This 264-nucleotide ribosomal RNA is filed under the name uncultured bacterium. Its description in RNAcentral is "partial 16S ribosomal RNA". It matches the Rfam family "Bacterial small subunit ribosomal RNA", at positions 90 to 354 of the family's 1533-position model. The record is from RNAcentral.
UCUUAGUGGCGGACGGGUGAGUAACGCGUGGGUAACCUGCCCCAUACCGGGGGAUACCACCUGGAAACAGGUGCUAAUACCGCAUAAGCGCACGGGAGCGCAUGCUCCUGUGUGAAAAACUCCGGUGGUAUGGGAUGGACCCGCGUCUGAUUAGCCAGUUGGCAGGGUAACGGCCUACCAAAGCGACGAUCAGUAGCCGGCCUGAGAGGGUGGACGGCCACAUUGGGACUGAGACACGGUCCAAACUCCUACGGGAGGCAGCAG